AUGAAGCUGGGGUGUUCUCGGUUUCUUCUUUCUUGCCAUGUUCUUCUCUGCCUUUCUGCGAUUUGGGUGCUGGCCACGGCCGAUGUACCGGCAGCCCACUGUCCCGGCUGCCAGGCCAAGUGCGGCGAAGUCGACAUCCCGUUCCCGUUCGGCAUCGGCAAGCAGUGCGCGUUCCACAACGGCUUUAACCUCAACUGCACGAGCAUCAACGGCGCCAUAAAACCUUUUAGCGGGAAUUUUGAGGUGACCAAGAUCUCCGUGCCAGACGGCAAGGCCUGGAUGAACACCACGACGAUCUCGUGGCAGUGCUAUUCCGAAUCCACUGGCGGUAUGACCUACUACAACGGAGUGGCGGACUUCACCCGCACACCUUUCUGGAUAUCGGAAGUGGACAACAAGAUCUUUGUCAUCGGGUGUAAUACUCUCGCUUAUAUGAUGGGUUCUUCUUAUUUAAUAGGUUGCAAGUCAACGUGCGACGACACCUUGAUGGAUGGCACAUGCUCCGGCGCCGGCUGCUGCCAAGUUGAUGUCCCGACAGGCGUACGGUUUUAUAAUGGUAAUUUCGACCAAAGCUACAACACCACGGAAAUAUGGCAUUACAGCCGUUGCAGCUACAUGGUAUUGAUGGAAAAGGAGGCUUUCAACUUCCGCACUAGCUAUGUCGAAUCCACGGUGUUUUAUGAUGUAUACAAUGGGACAGUUCCACUCGUGCUGAACUGGCGGGCAGGACCGCUGAGUUGCGACGAAGCUCAGAAGAACAUGAGCUCCUAUGCAUGCGUCAGCGACCACAGCGCGUGUGUAAACACCACCGGCGACAAGCCAGGUUACCGCUGCAGGUGCUCCGAUGGAUACGAAGGCAACCCUUAUAUCCAGAACGGAUGCCAAGAUAUUGACGAGUGCCUUCAAAAUGCUACUAUCUGCGGCUCUGGAAUGUGUGAGAACACGGCAGGGCAUUACACCUGCUCAUGUCGACGUGGAAAAAAUUGGACUAAUGGCAAUUGUACAACUGUUGGACUAGUCGCCUUAGUGACUGCUUUAGCAUCUGCAUGCAUGAUCCAAGAGAGAAGAAAGCUACAGAAGAUGAAACGAGACUACUUUCGGCAGCAUGGUGGUCUGAUAUUAUUUGAUGAGAUGAGGUCAAAGCAAGGUAUUUCAUUCAAAAUUUUCACGGAAGAAGAACUACAGGAAGCCACGAACAGGUUUAGUGAGCAACAAGUACUGGGUCAAGGGGGCUAUGGGACUGUGUACAAGGGGAUUCUUGAGGGCAACGUGGAAGUAGCGGUGAAGAGAUGCAAGACCGCCGACGAGCAACAAAAGAAAGAAUUUGGUAAAGAGAUGCUAAUCUUAUCUGAAGUCAACCAUAGAAACAUUGUGAAGCUCCUUGGGUGUUGCCUCGAAGUGGAAGUUCCCAUGCUAGUAUAUGAGUUCGUCCCAAAUGGCACCCUCUUCCAGCUCAUACACGGUAACCAUGGCCUACGUAUCUCCUUGGCUACUCGCUUGGGGAUCGCCCACGAGUCGGCCGAUGCGCUCUCCUAUCUUCACUCAUCGGCUUCGACACCGAUCCUCCAUGGUGAUGUCAAGUCCUCCAAUAUUCUUCUUGAUAGGGACAACAAAGCCAAAGUAGCUGACUUUGGUGCCUCCAUCCUGGCAUCAAUUGAUAAGUCACAAUUCAUCACACUUAUACAUGGUACUUGCGGGUACCUCGACCCGGAGUACAUGCAAACCAACCUGCUGACAGACAAGAGUGACGUAUACAGCUUUGGGGUUGUUCUUUUGGAGCUACUCACGGGCAAGUUACCUUUUAAUUUCAAUCCGGAUGUCCUUGUCCAUGAAAAGAGCCUAGCGAUGAUGUUUAUGUAUGCCAUGAAGGAGAAUAAGCUCGAGCAAAUCUUGGAUGUUGAGCUCAAGGACGGGGAUAACACAGAGAUUCUUGAAGAGAUUGCGGAGCUAGCGAUGCGUUGCUUAGAAAUGUGUGGUGACAAUAGGCCAUCGAUGAAGGAAGUUGCUGAAAAGCUUGAUAGUCUGAGGAAGGUGAUGCAACAUCCAUGGGUGCAGCGGAACCCUCAAGAGAUGGAAUGCCUACUUGCGGAGCCCUCAUCGGUGGUCAGCUCGACAAUAACCAGUGCUGAAUAUUUCAGCAUCGAGAAGGAAGCUGUUAAUAGUCUGUAG
RNAcentral lists this ribosomal RNA (2169 nucleotides) under Triticum aestivum (bread wheat). RNAcentral's name for it is "partial small subunit ribosomal RNA". The record is from RNAcentral. Lineage: Eukaryota; Viridiplantae; Streptophyta; Magnoliopsida; Poales; Poaceae.